RNAcentral lists this non-coding RNA (220 nucleotides) under Prosthecochloris sp. GSB1. The record is from RNAcentral. Lineage: Bacteria; Pseudomonadati; Chlorobiota; Chlorobiia; Chlorobiales; Chlorobiaceae. RNAcentral also lists the same sequence under 1 other name.
UGUUUUUAUGAUCCUUACGGUGCCGGACACAAUGCAAUGUGUCCGGCUUAAAAGGGAAUCCGGUGUGAAUCCGGAACAGUACCCGCUGCUGUAAUCCCUUGCCGGUCAAGAGUCCGGUAAAGAGGUAUGCAGAGGAAACGCCACUGAUUCGCUCCCCGCGGAUCGGGAAGGCCUGCAUGCAAGGGAAAGUCAGAAGACCUGCCGUAACGGAGUAAUGCUU